Molecule: ribosomal RNA, 276 nt
Filed under: Escherichia coli
Lineage: Bacteria; Pseudomonadati; Pseudomonadota; Gammaproteobacteria; Enterobacterales; Enterobacteriaceae
Description: partial 16S ribosomal RNA
Rfam family: Bacterial small subunit ribosomal RNA
Source: RNAcentral
GGGGAGGAAGGGAGUAAAGUUAAUACCUUUGCUCAUUGACGUUACCCGCAGAAGAAGCACCGGCUAACUCCGUGCCAGCAGCCGCGGUAAUACGGAGGGUGCAAGCGUUAAUCGGAAUUACUGGGCGUAAAGCGCACGCAGGCGGUUUGUUAAGUCAGAUGUGAAAUCCCCGGGCUCAACCUGGGAACUGCAUCUGAUACUGGCAAGCUUGAGUCUCGUAGAGGGGGGUAGAAUUCCAGGUGUAGCGGUGAAAUGCGUAGAGAUCUGGAGGAAUAC